GGGGAAUAUUGCGCAAUGGGCGAAAGCCUGACGCAGCCAACCCGCGUGUGUGAUGAAGGCCUUCGGGUUGUAAAGCACUGUCGUGAGGGAAGAAGUUCUGACGGUACCUCACAAGAAAGCACCGGCUAACCCCGUGCCAGCAGCCGCGGUAAUACGGGGGGUGCAAGCGUUGCUCGGAAUCACUGGGCGUAAAGCGUCCGCAGGCGGGACGGUCAGUCGAAUGUGAAAGCCCGGGGCUCAACCCCGGAACUGCGUUCGAUACUGCCGUCCUCGAGUUCGGGAGAGGGGAGCGGAAUUCCUGGUGUAGAGGUGAAAUUCGUAGAUAUCAGGAGGAACACCAGUGGCGAAAGCGGCUCCCUGGCCCGAUACUGACGCUCAUGGACGAAAGCGUGGGGAGCAAAC
Molecule: ribosomal RNA, 402 nt
Filed under: uncultured bacterium
Lineage: Bacteria
Description: bacterial SSU rRNA
Rfam family: Bacterial small subunit ribosomal RNA
Source: RNAcentral